Molecule: ribosomal RNA, 645 nt
Filed under: unidentified microorganism
Description: bacterial SSU rRNA
Rfam family: Bacterial small subunit ribosomal RNA
Source: RNAcentral
ACACAUGCAGUCGAGCGGUAGAGAGAAGCUUGCUUCUCUUGAGAGCGGCGGACGGGUGAGUAAUGCCUAGGAAUCUGCCUGGUAGUGGGGGAUAACGUUCGGAAACGGACGCUAAUACCGCAUACGUCCUACGGGAGAAAGCAGGGGACCUUCGGGCCUUGCGCUAUCAGAUGAGCCUAGGUCGGAUUAGCUAGUUGGUGGGGUAAUGGCUCACCAAGGCGACGAUCCGUAACUGGUCUGAGAGGAUGAUCAGUCACACUGGAACUGAGACACGGUCCAGACUCCUACGGGAGGCAGCAGUGGGGAAUAUUGGACAAUGGGCGAAAGCCUGAUCCAGCCAUGCCGCGUGUGUGAAGAAGGUCUUCGGAUUGUAAAGCACUUUAAGUUGGGAGGAAGGGCAUUAACCUAAUACGUUAGUGUUUUGACGUUACCGACAGAAUAAGCACCGGCUAACUCUGUGCCAGCAGCCGCGGUAAUACAGAGGGUGCAAGCGUUAAUCGGAAUUACUGGGCGUAAAGCGCGCGUAGGUGGUUUGUUAAGUUGGAUGUGAAAUCCCCGGGCUCAACCUGGGAACUGCAUUCAAAACUGACUGACUAGAGUAUGGUAGAGGGUGGUGGAAUUUCCUGUGUAGCGGUGAAAUGCGUA